This 828-nucleotide ribosomal RNA is filed under the name uncultured fungus. Its description in RNAcentral is "SSU rRNA". It matches the Rfam family "Eukaryotic small subunit ribosomal RNA", at positions 564 to 1391 of the family's 1831-position model. Lineage: Eukaryota; Fungi. The record is from RNAcentral.
GUGCCAGCCGCCUUUCGGUAAUUCCAGCUCCAAUAGCGUAUAUUAAAGUUGUUGUGGUUAAAAAGCUCGUAGUUGAACCUUGGGCCUGGCUGGCCGGUCCGCCUCACCGCGUGCACUGGUCCGGCCGGGCCUUUCCCUCUGUGGAACCCCAUACCCUUCACUGGGCGUGGCGGGGAAACAGGACAUUUACUUUGAAAAAAUUAGAGUGCUCCAGGCAGGCCUAUGCUCGAAUACAUUAGCAUGGAAUAAUAAAAUAGGACGCGCGGUUCUAUUUUGUUGGUUUACAGGACCGCCGUAAUGAUUAAUAGGGACAGUCGGGGGCAUCAGUAUUCAACUGUCAGAGGUGAAAUUCUUGGAUCAGUUGAAGACUAACUACUGCGAAAGCAUUUGCCAAGGAUGUUUUCAUUAAUCAGGAACGAAAGUUAGGGGAUCGAAGACGAUCAGAUACCGUCGUAGUCUUAACCAUAAACUAUGCCGACUAGGGAUCGGACGGUGUUAUUCAUGACCCGUUCGGCACCUUACGAGAAAUCAAAGUGCUUGGGCUCCAGGGGGAGUAUGGUCGCAAGGCUGAAACUUAAAGAAAUUGACGGAAGGGCACCACCAGGGGGUGGAGCCUGCGGCUUAAUUUGACUCAACACGGGGGAACUCACCAGGUCCAGACACAAUAAGGAUUGACAGAUUGAGAGCUCUCUCCUUGAUUUUGUGGUGGUGGUGCAUGGCCGCUCUAAUUGGGUGGGGGGGACUUGUCUGCCUUAAUUGCGAAUAACGAACCAGGACCAUAACCUGCUAAAAAAGACCGCAUUGGCUCCCGGCCGAGCGCUUGACUGU